AUACCCUAGUACACUUAAUUUUAAUUGUUUAAUACUAGGAUACUAAGAGAUAUGUUCUUGAAAUUUAAAAAAUUUGGCGGUAUUUUAGUCUAGUUAGAGGAACCUGUUUUAUAAACGACACUACACGCAUUAUCUUACUUUUUUUUGUAUUCAGUUUGUAUACCGUCAUUAUUAGAUAAUUUGAGAAAUAAUAUUAUUGGAAUCAUAGUUUGAGUAUAUUAGAUCAAGGUGCAGCUUAUAAAGAAGAAAAAAUGGGUUACAAUAAAAUUUAUUUAUAACGGAGUUAAAAUUUAAAAAUUUAAAUGAAGGAGGAUUUAAUUGUAAAAUUGGGAAUAAUAAAACUUUUUGGUAUAAGCUCUAAAUUAUGUACAUA
Molecule: ribosomal RNA, 373 nt
Filed under: Cambaroides japonicus
Lineage: Eukaryota; Metazoa; Arthropoda; Malacostraca; Decapoda; Cambaridae
Description: partial 12S ribosomal RNA
Source: RNAcentral